AGAAGCACCGGCUAACUCCGUGCCAGCAGCCGCGGUAAUACGGAGGGUGCAAGCGUUAAUCGGAAUUACUGGGCGUAAAGCGCACGCAGGCGGUUUGUUAAGUCAGAUGUGAAAUCCCCGGGCUCAACCUGGGAACUGCAUCUGAUACUGGCAAGCUUGAGUCUCGUAGAGGGGGGUAGAAUUCCAGGUGUAGCGGUGAAAUGCGUAGAGAUCUGGAGG
RNAcentral lists this ribosomal RNA (219 nucleotides) under Escherichia coli. Its description in RNAcentral is "partial 16S ribosomal RNA". It matches the Rfam family "Bacterial small subunit ribosomal RNA", at positions 486 to 704 of the family's 1533-position model. The record is from RNAcentral. Lineage: Bacteria; Pseudomonadati; Pseudomonadota; Gammaproteobacteria; Enterobacterales; Enterobacteriaceae.